Long non-coding RNA from Choloepus didactylus (southern two-toed sloth), 1185 nucleotides. RefSeq lists it as uncharacterized. NCBI's taxonomy places the organism in Eukaryota, Metazoa, Chordata, Mammalia, Pilosa, Megalonychidae. The transcript is spliced from 4 exons. The record is from RefSeq and is a predicted model, not a curated record.
CGCGUCUAGCCCCGGGGGGCUUGGAGACUGCAGAGUGUGCGCCGGCGGCACCGGAAAACCUAGAGAGCCCUAAAACGUCAGGGCUAAUUCCAGUGUGUUUUGAGGAAAGCCGUGUGGUGGCCUUCAGGCCCCCCAGAGCUUUCGCGAACGCGCCGCGCCGCUUUGGGACUCCCUACUUCUGGAGGUUGCAGCCUGGAAAACGGUCACGCCCUGUUGGCAUCUGUCCGUGCUUGUGUACGUGGCUCCUGGCGUGGAGAACUGUGGCUGUGGAAAAGCGUGCACGGGAGAGAGGGACGAGGGGGCGCGGCCUUGGCCCAUUAUCUGUUUCCUGGGAGUUACAAAAGCCCUAAAAUUUUCACAGAUUAAACCCCCCGACCCAAGAGAAAACCCUUAGGACUUCCGUGAACGUGGGAUUUGGAGUGCUGUUGGAUCCAGUUGGUUCCCCGUUUUGGAAAUCAGCAUACCAAAGAUUUGCUCUUAAUUUUCUCGUGUGUUGAAUAGACAUUGUGCGGGCACCACGCCCUAUAUCCCACUCUUUUAAGGAAAUAUUUGUGACAGAAACGCUCAAACCUCUGCAUCUUUCAUGUCUUUUUAGGUUCUUUCUAGAAAUUGUGACCUUUUUCUCUCGAGUCAUUCCAUCAAAAUCUUGGAAGCAAAGUUUAAAAAAAAAUGCUAGCCUUAAUUAGAAAGGGCUGCUUUGACAAGUACCACAAACUAGUGGCUUAAAACGUCAGAAAUUUGUCUCACAGUUCUGAAGGCUUCACUUCAAUCUCUGCUUCUAUCUUCAUAUGACCUUCUUUUCCCUGUGUCUCUCCUCUUCUUGAAAGGAUACCUGUCAUUGGAUUAGUGCCUACCUUAAUUCAGUAUAACCACAUCUUAACGUGAAUAUGUCUUCAAAGAUCCUGCUUCCAAAUAAGGUAACAUUUACAGAGAUUCUAACAUCAAGCAGCAGUUGAGCAACAAAUCACUAAAGUUAAAAGAAAAAUGAUCUUGGAGACUACUCACCUGUCCUGAAAGGUUUAGGUGCUUCCAUCCAACUGGGGUUAAAGUUGAAUGACAAGAAGAUGAAGAAAACAGCUGAGUAUAAAUACCAUUGCUUAAAUCCUCAAGUUUUAUGACAGUUAAAUUCCUCAUUGGACAUGCGGUGGAUUAAAAUCACAUUAAAGUUUGGACUUCAACCAAUGA